ACCACUCGCAGUUUAUCCAGCAGUUCAGGAACCAUGUCUGUCAGGUUUUCCACUGUGAAGGAGCAGAGAGGCAAGACAUAAACUUAAGGGGACAGGCAGCAUCAGAUACUGAGGACUCCAUUUUGAAGCAAAUGCAAAAGCAAAGUCAAGAGAGUGAACAGUACAAGUAACUCAGCCUGCUGAACGGUUCUCACUGCCCCCUCAAGGAGCUCCCUGGUGUCAGACAGCCUGCUGCUGAGCUCCGAGAGCUUGUGCUGAA
Molecule: long non-coding RNA, 259 nt
Organism: Polyodon spathula (Mississippi paddlefish)
Lineage: Eukaryota; Metazoa; Chordata; Actinopteri; Acipenseriformes; Polyodontidae
Exons: 3
Source: RefSeq, a predicted model, not a curated record